Zea mays is the source of this 556-nucleotide long non-coding RNA. RefSeq lists it as uncharacterized. The transcript is spliced from 2 exons. NCBI's taxonomy places the organism in Eukaryota, Viridiplantae, Streptophyta, Magnoliopsida, Poales, Poaceae. The record is from RefSeq and is a predicted model, not a curated record.
GUUGGGCGGACCCCCCUCGGCCGCCUGGUCGUGCAUUGCUCUGGUCCUCCUGCCGCCACGUCGCCUGUGGUACCGCCGAACACAAACCCUAUCCCAAGUCCUAACCUAGUUGUUGCUGCUUACUCCUCUCAGUCGUGGUCUCGUGCCCUACUUAUCCCUUUGCGUGCCAACGAGGCCCUGCGUCCCUGAACUAGGGUUUAGGCCCCAGGUCCAUGGAAUUCAGGGCAGAUGGCUUCGGGUGGCCGCCACCGCAAGGCAAUGUCGCCGAAUCAUUGCCGCCGCCGAUGGGAGACCGCGGGGAGGUCGCCUCGUCCCACUUCGAUUCGUCUCGUGCCCUAAGAUUGAUGAGAGAGCUUGACACAAAUGUCACAGAAGAUUUGACUAUGUUGAUGCCAAAUUUGUUGUCAUGUUUGAAGCAUGAUGAUCCUGCGAUUGUUAAGCAAGCUAUAGCCAAUGGAACAAAUUUAUUUGUUGUUGUAUUAUAAGAGAUGAAACUACAUGUGGUUAUUUGCAAACAGAUAUUUAUUAAUGAAUAAAUCCACUAUUGUUGUAACUA